GAACCUGCCUCAAAGAGGGGGACAACAGUUGGAAACGACUGCUAAUACCGCAUAAGCCCACGGCUCGGCAUCGAGCAGGGGGAAAAGGAGCAAUCCGCUUUGAGAUGGCCUCGCGUCCGAUUAGCUAGUUGGUGAGGUAACGGCCCACCAAGGCGACGAUCGGUAGCCGGACUGAGAGGUUGAACGGCCACAUUGGGACUGAGACACGGCCCAGACUCCUACGGGAGGCAGCAGUGGGGAAUAUUGCACAAUGGGGGAAACCCUGAUGCAGCGACGCCGCGUGGAGGAAGAAGGUCUUCGGAUUGUAAACUCCUGUUGUUGAGGAAGAUAAUGACGGUACUCAACAAGGAAGUGACGGCUAACUACGUGCCAGCAGCCGCGGUAAAACGUAGGUCACAAGCGUUGUCCGGAAUUACUGGGUGUAAAGGGAGCGCAGGCGGGAGAACAAGUUGGAAGUGAAAUCCAUGGGCUCAACCCAUGAACUGCUUUCAAAACUGUUUUUCUUGAGUAGUGCAGAGGUAGGCGGAAUUCCCGGUGUAGCGGUGGAAUGCGUAGAUAUCGGGAGGAACACCAGUGGCGAAGGCGGCCUACUGGGCACCAACUGACGCUGAGGCUCGAAAGUGUGGGUAGCAAACAGGAUUAGAUACCCUGGUAGUCCACACCGUAAACGAUGAUUACUAGGUG
Molecule: ribosomal RNA, 684 nt
Filed under: uncultured bacterium
Lineage: Bacteria
Description: bacterial SSU rRNA
Rfam family: Bacterial small subunit ribosomal RNA
Source: RNAcentral